AUAGUUUCAGGUUUAUUGCAGGCACGGCGGGUCGGUUAUGAAGCAACACACUGAUACAUCGUGUGUAUCGUAUCACGUGUACGUCAUCGAUAUCACACUGUGCAAACUGUAGAACACACACAUGGAUAUUUGGUGAGGAAGAGGAGGAAGAGAAGGAGCUUCACUGACCUCACUGUUAAAACGGGCCGACACCGGAGCCUCUCUCCACCCGAUACGCAUCUGUGUACAUGUACUGGGUAUAAAUACGCGUACCGGGUACAGAUGCUGUGUGAACUAAGACGGCCUGAGGUCACGGGUUUGAUUCCCGGUUCACUGGUUUCCCAUUUUAACCAGUGGUUCACAAACCUUUGGCCAAAGCAUAAGAGACUUUUCUACUUUCCUCAAAAAUACUCAUUUUUCAAAUCUAACCUUUGACCUUCAAGGCUUUGUCCUUGUUUGCGUUUGGGGGAUGAUGAAACACUGAGUUCUCACAAUGAGGUAAACAAAUGUGGGCAACAGAACAUUUUUAUCAUAUAUUUUGACAAAUUGGUGGAUGUAUUGAAUUUACUCUGAUACUGAACUAAAGAUACCCUUUCACAAUAAAGCAGCAUUUAACUUGUAUAAAUGUAUAAAAGCCACACACACCCGUAUGAAAACAUGUCGGACGAUGAAUCAAACGCACCUCAUUGAGCUCAGAUUGAUGUGUCACCGGGUUUGUUUCAUUUCAACGCCCUCUGGUUUGACCCCCCCCUUUCUAAAAACACUCCCUGCGGGUGCUAAUUUUAAAGUGCUGCUCCUCACAUGCAAGAUGACAUCGUCAGGCUCCACUUCCCCAAAUGAGACGCAUCGCCGCUUAGAUGCUGCCAGCGUUUCCCCUCCGGUGAUCCGUUUACACACAAAGAACUCUGAACUUCCUGCAGACGGAAAGUGAGUAGAGACCUCAGGACGAGGCUGCGUGUUCAGCAGAGACGCUCAUAGUUAUUACUGCAUUCGUCACCGAGGGGAUGUACACAGCUCGCUGUGUGCAGACGUAUCGGCACAAAACCACAAGGAGGCACUCGUAGUAGCCGUGAGGUACUCAGAUAUACUCGUAGUAGCCGUGAGGUACUCAGAUAUACUCGUAGUAGCCGUGAGGUACUCAGAUAUACUUGUAGUAGCCGUGAGGUACUCAGAUAUACUCGUAGUAGCCGUGAGGUACUCAGAUAUACUCGUAGUAGCCGUGAGGUACUCAGAUAUACUCGUAGUAGUUGUGAGGUACUCAGCAGGUAGUUAUGUUUCCAUUAGGCAAAUGAACAGUAACAGUGAACAAGCUGCUUUCUGCUUAGCGUGGGCACAGAGCGGGGGGGGGUUCGAGAGGGCAACUACCCAGUGGGGGUAUUAAGCAACAGGUACCCGGAGUCUGAGGGGUUUGCUGCAGUAGAAUGAGCGUUUCUUACAGUCCAAUAACUUAUUUGACUAAACACGAGGAGGGAAUCUCAGCAGCAAAGUUCACAAAGUCUUUCGUUUUUUUCUCCUCUUCAGCCAAUCAGCGAUCGUAGCGCCGCCACCAUCGCGAGCCCCGCGCUCAGCCCCGCCCACGAGGGUCCGGUGUUGGCCCCGCCUCCGUCCAGGCGCAGAGUGUUGUUGCAGGGUGGGGUUAGGUUUGCCGAGGUGGGGCGGAGCGGGACCCCGCCGGCGGUGGCGGGGACGCGGCGUAACAGGAAGUCGUGUUUCAUGGCAGAGUAGCGAUCGGGGCCGUACGGCACGCUCAGCGUCUCCGUCAAAACCUCGUGACCCGGGUACGUCACCUGUCAAUCAGAAGAGUCGGACUGUGACACACUGCACGGCGGUACCGCUGCAGAAACACCAGUUAUUGCUACUAUGCUAAGCUAGUUAGCU
Molecule: long non-coding RNA, 1857 nt
Organism: Gasterosteus aculeatus aculeatus (three-spined stickleback)
Lineage: Eukaryota; Metazoa; Chordata; Actinopteri; Perciformes; Gasterosteidae
Source: Ensembl